This is a long non-coding RNA of Nilaparvata lugens (brown planthopper), 765 nucleotides long. RefSeq lists it as uncharacterized. The transcript is spliced from 3 exons. The record is from RefSeq and is a predicted model, not a curated record. NCBI's taxonomy places the organism in Eukaryota, Metazoa, Arthropoda, Insecta, Hemiptera, Delphacidae.
CUAGCCUCCUCUUCCCCUGCUUCUGCUUGAUGUUGUUGCUCAGCGUUGUCAGCACCGCACGCCGCGGCGCCCACGUAGCCAGUGUAGAUUGUGGCAGAGGACUGUCCAGAAUCACGAUCUCCUCACCCCUCUCUCGUUGAACGUAGAUUCCCUGUCUCUUCAGGGGUGAGGCGGAGGAGGAGGCUGGGGAGACAGCGGAGGCGGCAGCAGUGGCAGCGGAGGUGGCAGCCAAGCUGCGAGCUUUCUGCUGCUGCCAAUAGUUGAGCAUGCGCUGCGGCGGGCUAUCCGGCAGGAUGUAUGAUGGAGAAGAUGUUGAUUGUGAAGUCAUCGUGAAGGUGGCUCAGAUGUAAAUGAUAAUUUUCCUCUCAUCGCUUCUGUUUAUAUAGCAUACGUUUCUCUCUCUGUUCCAGGCUCGUGCGAGCAAGAGCGAAGUGUGCUACAAGGCGAAAAAAAUUCAAAUUUCUCUCCAACAACACGUGCUCCCACAUCGUUAUCGGUUUCAUUUUCUCGCCUCUCAACUCGAGUUCCGAACCUCAUAUCCACUUGAGCUCUCGUGAGGGAAACAUACCUGAGACAAGCAUACCCGAGGAGAUAGCUGUCAUUUCGUGAAAUCAACACAUAUAUGAGCUGUCGAACGGAAAUCAUUUGAUGAAUAUAUAAGCUCAGUAUAUAUUAUAAAUAGGCAUUUUAAUGAAUUACGUAAAUAUGAUUCUGUUUCUUUAGAAAAAAUGGCGAGAAUACAAAGUUAUCAUUGUGAACUAACUG